This is a long non-coding RNA of Pan troglodytes (chimpanzee), 1845 nucleotides long. RefSeq lists it as uncharacterized. The transcript has 3 exons. NCBI's taxonomy places the organism in Eukaryota, Metazoa, Chordata, Mammalia, Primates, Hominidae. The record is from RefSeq and is a predicted model, not a curated record.
AAUAAAUGUGGUAUAGGGAGGGGUAGAGGGAUGAUGGGAGCUGGCAGGCACUGUCAGGACGUCAUGCUCGGUCUUGCUUCCUAAUUGCUACCUCCUCCCACUUCUGCCUCUGCACCUCACCACCAAGCGCUAAUGAAUAAGUAUGGUUUCCAUGCCGGAGCCAGGCAGUGUCCUGAGCUCUUUGCAUGCAUUACUCUGCUUAACCCCCACACAGCCUGAACUAGAAGAUGAGGACACUAAGGCUUAUGGUGGUGGAGAGACUUGGCCAAGGUCGCCCAGCUUAUGAACAGCACAGCAGGAAUGCAGACUUCCUGUCCAGCAUUCUUUCUUCAACUCAUGGUUCCUGGUCAAUGAUAGAAAUGGACAGAACAGAGGGCAUCCAAGAGCUUCCUUAAGAGGAAGUCAAACUGUCACUGUUUGCUGAUGAUAAGAGUGUAUACCUAGAAAACCCUGAAGACUCAUCCAAAAAGCUCUUAGAACUGAUAAAUGAAUUCAGCAAAGUUUCAGGAUACAAAAUUAGUACAGACAAAUCAGUAGCUCUGCUAUACACCGAUAGUGACCAAGCUGAGAAUCAAAUCAAGAAUUUAACCCCUUUUACAAUAGCUGCGAAACAAAACAAAACAAAAAACAACUUAGGAAUAUACCUAACCAAGGACGUGAAAGACCUCUGCAAGGAAAACUGCAAAACAAUGCUAAAAGAAAUCAUAGAUGACACAAACAAAUGGAAACACAUUCCAUGCUCAUGGCUGGGUAGAAUCAAUAUUGUGAAAAUGACAUACUCCCAAAAACAAUGCACAAAUUCAAUGCAAUUCCCAUAAAAAUAACUUCAUCAUUCCUUAAAGAACUAAAAAAAAAUCCUAAAAUUCAUACGGAACCCAAAAAGAGCCCACAUAAUCAAAGCAAGACAAAGCAAAAAGAAUAAAUCUGGAGGCAUCACAUUACACAACUUCAAACUAUACUAUAAGGUCAUAGUCACCAAAACUACAUGGUACUAGUAUAAAAACAGGCACAUUUUAUAGAAUAGAAUAGAGUCUGUUCUAUAAAACAGAAUAGAGAACAGAAUAGAGAACACAGAAGUAAAGCCAAAUAUUUACAGCCAAUUGAUCUUUGACAAAGCAAACAAAAACAUAAAGUGGAGAGGGGAAAGGACACUGUAUUCAACAAAUGGUUCUGGGAUAAUUGGCUAGCCACAUGUAGAAGAAUGAAACUGGAUCCUCAUCUCUCACCUUCUACAAAAAUCAACUUGAGGUGGAUCAAACACUUAAAUAUAAGACCAGAAACCAUAAAGAUUCUAGAAGAUAACAUCAGAAAAACCCUUGUAGACAUUGGCUUAGGCAAAGACUUCAUGACCAAGAACCCAAAAGCAAAUGCAACAAAAGCAAAUAUAAAUAGAUGGGACUUAAACCAAAAAGCUUCUGCACAGCAAAAAAAUAAUCAGCAGAGUUAACAGACAACCUACAGAGAAAAUCUUCACAAUCUAUACCUCUGACAAAGGACUAAUAUCCAGAAUCUACAAAAAACUCAAAUAAAUCAGCAAGAAAAAACAAACGAUCCCAGCAAGAGGUGGGCAGAUCACGAGGUCAAGAGAUCGAGACCAUCCUAGCCAACAUGGUGAAAGCUUGUCUCUAGUAAAAAUACAAAAAUUAGCUGAGUGUGGUGGCACACGCCUGUAAUGCCAGCUACUCCGGAGGCUGAGGCAGGAGAAUUGCUAGAACUCAGGAGGUGGAGGUUGCAGUGAGCCAAGAUCGUGCCACUGCACUCCAGCCUGGUGACAGAGUGAGACUCUGUUUCAAAAAAAAAAAAAAAAAAAAAAAGGUGGGCUAAGGACAUGAAUAGACAAUUCUC